Long non-coding RNA from Capsicum annuum, 512 nucleotides. RefSeq lists it as uncharacterized. The record is from RefSeq and is a predicted model, not a curated record. The transcript is spliced from 2 exons. NCBI's taxonomy places the organism in Eukaryota, Viridiplantae, Streptophyta, Magnoliopsida, Solanales, Solanaceae.
GCCCAUUCUGCCAAAGCCCACAUCCAUUUCCAACAUAUAAAUGCCUUGUAUGGUUUCCUUUUCCUCAUUUCCUUAUCUUCCCCUUUCUCAUUUUCACCCGAACAACAUAUUUCUUCCAAACUUCAACCUUCAUUUCAUUCUUCCGCUGCGUUGGGUCAUCAAUUGUGUGCCUUUACAUUCAGACCCGUAUCUCUGUUUAUCAGCUUUCGAAAGUUGAUUGCUUUGAGAUGAAGAGGUGGAAAUUCCUCCGGCAGGAUUACCCCACUGGUCGAAUUAUUCGCCAUAAUCGCCGCCAGUAGCAGAGAAAGAGAGUUUUUGCUGACCUAAUUUUUUUUCCUUUAUCCUAUUCAAACUCCACUUUAUGAAAAUACACUGAAUAUAUUAUUAUUGUUGUAACAUUUUGGUGUAUAUGAAUAUUUCUAUGUUUAUAUCAAGUAAAUAAACAUAUGGAUCUUUCAAUAAGAUUGAUGGUGUAAAGUUAUUUGUAAUGAGAAGUCUUAUUUUGUUUUUAA